Molecule: ribosomal RNA, 497 nt
Filed under: uncultured bacterium
Lineage: Bacteria
Description: partial 16S ribosomal RNA
Rfam family: Bacterial small subunit ribosomal RNA
Source: RNAcentral
GAUGAACGCUGGCGGCGUGCCCAAUACAUGCAAGUCGAGCGAACAGAUGAGGAGCUUGCUCCUCUGACGUUAGCGGCGGACGGGUGAGUAACACGUGGAUAACCUACCUAUAAGACUGGGAUAACUUCGGGAAGCCGGAGCUAAUACCGGAUAAUAUAUUGAACCGCAUGGUUCAAUAGUGAAAGACGGUUUUGCUGUCACUUAUAGAUGGAUCCGCGCCGCAUUAGCUAGUUGGUAAGGUAACGGCUUACCAAGGCAACGAUGCGUAGCCGACCUGAGAGGGUGAUCGGCCACACUGGAACUGAGACACGGUCCAGACUCCUACGGGAGGCAGCAGUAGGGAAUCUUCCGCAAUGGGCGAAAGCCUGACGGAGCAACGCCGCGUGAGUGAUGAAGGUCUUCGGAUCGUAAAACUCUGUUAUUAGGGAAGAACAAAUGUGUAAGUAACUAUGCACGUCUUGACGGUACCUAAUCAGAAAGCCACGGCUAACUACGUG